UCUGUUUCUGUUUUAUUCAAUUCUUAAUUUCAGGUUCUGUAUUUUUCAAUUCUACGGUUUCUUCCUGAUGUUUUUGGUAUAUUUCAAUUCUCUGGUGAAAUGCUUAUCUUUCUUAAAUAUGUUAUCUCCCCUUUACCUGUUUUCUUGAACAUAGUGCUCAUAGUUCCUUACAAGUCCAUGUCUACUAGCUCCAGAGUCUGAAUCACCCAUCGGUCUUUCUCUGUCGUCUGUUCUGUUUAUAGGUGUCUAGAUGCAUGAUUCUGUCUCUCAGCGUGCGUGCCUAUUAAUUGUUGAUUGAAUGUUAGACGUCCUGAACCUCCAGAUUUUAUUUUCCACCAGAGAGAGCUUAACCUUUCCUCUACUGGAAAGAUUGGGUGGAAGGUAAUCACAUUAAUCAAGUUAGGUACUGUGCUGAGUUGAAGCUGGGUUGCAGUUUGACUGAGGCUCCAUUUUUCUCUGGUUUGCCUCUUCUCCCAUGGCGUAGCUUGCUAGGCUUUUGGUAGUGAAGGUGCUAUCUUCCCUCGGGUCCCUUUAAAUGUUGUCUUUUGAGCUUUUUUACCCGCCCAUUUAGGACAGCUCAGAAUUUGCCAGAUAUUUGAAGAGGGAACUAGGCAUGUGUUUCAGGUCAUUUGUUUCUCCAGGUCUGUCAUUCUAGCCCUGCAGGAGUGCCAAAAAUUCUGCUGGUGUCUCUGUCCUAGCAGCAGUCUUCUGCCAGGACAAAGCCCAGAGUACCAUUCUCUCACCUUCACCCAGAACCAGUAAUGCCUGCAGGGGGAGAGCGGCUGCAGACCCUCAGCUUACCUCUCUGUUCUCGCUUCUCUGGAAUCCUAGUGCCACAAGUUGUCUUUGUUUCCGCCCAUCUCUGAUACUUUUAAACAAAUACUUUUUGUAUUUUAUCCAGCUUUACUAGUUGCUCUUGGCAGGAGCGUUGGUCUGCAACAACCAACUCUUCUGUCUGGAAGCAGCAUUCCAGUGAGUUCGUAAUUUCUGUUAUUAUAUUUUUUAUUUCAGGAAGUUAUAUUUUGUUCACUCCCAAAUCCAUUUGAUGAUUUUUACAGUCUCUUGUUACUAUCUCAUAUUUUCAACUCGUUUUAAUUUUCUUGUACAUUUUAAACAUGCUUAUUCUGUACUUACCUUCUGAUUAUUUUAGUAUCUCAAGUAUUUCCUGCUCCAAUUUUGGUAUUACUUCUGCUAGCUUCAUUUAUCUUGCCUUAUUUCUUUGCAGGUUUACUGAUUCACGAAUGUGAACUUAUAUGUCUUAAAAUUAGUCUCUGUGGGACUUUUCAAGGCCUGAGUUGAAGGUGGCUUCCUUCAUAGAGGCUUUGUAUUUGCUUCUGGUGGUAGCCUGGGAGCAUGUGCAGGCCUCGGCACACUUUAACAUCAUUUGAAUUUUAUUGGGCCACUUAAAUAAUACUAGUUUAGGUAGAAAAUCCACAUAAGGGCUAGCUUGUGAUUAUAAAAUUCAUAAGGGGAAUAUUUUUUUCUAUCCUCCAUUCAUAGUCUGAGUUCAAGAUUUCUCUCUGUGGGUGGGCCCUGGACUUUGUCCACUAUCCCCUGCUCCACUAGGAGGCCAUGGAAACCAAAGCUCAGCUUCACCCCUGUCAUAAGUCAAAUGCUCUCAAGGUAAAAUCUGCCCUUUGUACUUCACAUGCCAUUAAGGGUUCCCAGGUUUACUUAGGUUUUAGCUUCUCAAUAUUCCUUUCUGACAUGCCAACAUAAUGAUGUAUUUGGGAAGAUGUUUGUCAUUUUCUGUUCAACAUUUUUAGUUGUUCACUGUGGGAGGUUCCAGAUCCAUCACAGUAGGAAACAGUAGUCAGGGCUGAAUGUUACUAAAUUUACACACAUACACACACACAUGCACGUGCACACACACACACACACACACAUAAUUAUACUGCUAAUAAAAUGUUCUGAAUUUAGUAUCACUUGUAUACAUGAUUAAAAUGAGUAGAUAAUAAAUUUGCCUUCCAAGAUCCAUAAUUGCAGCUCUUUGUCCCCACCAGUAACUACAAGCAGUUUCUCAUUAAAGAAAAGAAAAUGAUUGAAUAAUCCAAAUUAGCCUGGGCAAGAAAACUAACAGCUGCCUAAAAUGAAAUGUUUGAGUUAUGAGCCAUGUGCCACUUUGGUUUAUCUGCAGCCAGAAGGUUCAGAAUCCUUAUUCAAUUAACCAUGUUGCUUGGGAGGGCCUGGUUGCCCUGAAUAAGAGCUGCCUGGUGAUGAGUAAGAGGUAUCCGUGACACACAAGUUCAGACUUUGCAACUCUGUUUUUGUUGUUUGAACUUUCUUCUCUGUUGUAGCUAGGGAUCCGGCAUGGAAUUUAAACACUUGUGUGGUAACUCCAUUCCUUCAGCCAUUGUGUUGUUAAGCUCUAGCUAACGAACUUUUAACACUGGUUCCACGUAAAGCAAGACUUAGAAAACAGCAGUAAUCAACAUGUCUGGUUUUAUAAAUAAAACCAUAUGAUUUAUAUGUUUUUAAGCAAGUAAGAUGCUUCUGCCUGUCUAGUCCAGCUGCUCCCCCUCUAAAAAGUAGCCUUCGUGAUAUGUAUGAAAAAUAAAUCAAGGUGCUCCUAAGAAAGCUUAAAUUAAAAAGUGGCUUUCAUUUCAAGAAAUCACACCUACUAUAGGAGAAACUUCCAAAUGUGUACCUGUUUUAAAGCUUAGCAACUUUGAGUAAAACAGAGAAACUAAAAUUACAUAUUAUUUGAAAAGGUGAGAGCUGCCAAAUGCACCAGUUAAGUAUACUUUGUCUCCUGUGGACUUUUCUUCCAAGCCAACAGUUUUUGUUGCUUAGGGAGAUCCUCCUGAUAAUGUCACAAAGAAUGUUUCUCAAGCUCAUAUAGAUUACGUACACACUGGCUUGCUAGAGACAAGGUUUUAUUUUGAAUCUAUAAGUCUCAUUUUGCUUCUAGACAUACUGUUUUGAAACAAAAACCAGGUGACUAGAAGAGGGGAGACUGAAUUUCUUCUCCAACUCCCAAACCAGUUCUGAAGAUAAUUCCAGAGGAGAAAAUUCAGAUAUAAUUUGAGCAGCAAUAUAAUAAUUUGACAUAAAAUAUCUCUGUUACUGCUUUGAAGAACUGCUCUUUACUUGAAUGUGUACACUGAUUACUAAUGUCUUACAUCAUAGUCUUACCACUUUACAAAAUUAGAUUUGCUUUUUGCACCUUAUUUUCUUAAAUUGUGGUCAUAUUAUAAAGAGUAAUUGUGUACUUUUAUUUAGGUGACACAGAGGAAUGUGAACAUGUAAUCUUGCUUGUUGAAUAGAAGUGAGGAGAAACUUUUGAAAUCAGAAGUUUCUUUUCAAUUAAGACCUCAAUCAUAUCAAAUAAUCAUUUUAUUUCUGCUUUUAUAAAAAUUGCAACAACUUUCAAGAAAUAUAGCUACCUUGUGGACUGCAAGUUCAAAUAUUGCAGAUAUUAUUGGGUUAAAGUUGCAGUAAGACAAAAGGUGGCUUUAUCAUUUCUAGAAUCGAAGAAUGAAGUGUGUGUAUGCUUUUAUUUUUUAAUUUUAGAAAUGUUUUCUGGGCCCAUUUUGGAUUUUUUUUAAAGAACCAACAGCCCAAAUCAUACAUCAAGGUUCUGACAUUAUUUUGUUUUACUGUGGAUGGCAAGAAAAUUAAUAAAAGUGACUUCCAUUUAUACUAAUGCCUUAGACCUUAUGCUCCAAGCAUACUCUCCAUUUCAGUUCCUACCCUAUACUUUCAUUAUUUAAUUCAUUUGACAUUUUUAAUCCUCUACUGAGUCAAAUCCACCUUCAUGAGUUUAAAUCCAAUUCAUCCUUCAAGAACACUUGUAUACCACCCCCUAACACGAAGCUUUCCCUAGUUCCCCACCCCCACCCCCCCACCAAGUAGAAGUUAAUCUCUCUUCUGUAUGACUUACAGCUCUUUCUCCAUCUCUAUUAGGGCAGUUAUUAAGUUUCCUCUUGUUUCCUUUUUCCUGUACUGUCUCCCAUUAGCAUGCAGCCUCUGGAGGUCAGAGAUUCAGUCUUGUUCACGUUUCUUUGCACAGGAAAUACAGCUUCUUUACUCAAGGAAUAGUAAACCCAAACUACCAAUUUGUCUACCAUAUUGGAAAAUUUGAAAUCAUCUUAAUAAAUAAUAUACAAAUGCUGGCACAUGGCCAAAUGAAUCAUCUUUGUCUUAAAGUAGCAAAAGGUAUUGCAGAAGCUGCUUCCAUGUCCUUUAGGUGACAAAGCCUAUGAGGACCCAGUGACUACUCGGGAUAAAGAAAGACAAGGAAGAUAAAGCUGUUCAUAGACUGAAAAGAGAAGAAAGAGUAACCUAAAACACCACCGAUGGAUUGCAUCAUGUAUGUAUGUGUGUGUCUCUGUGUGUGAGUUUAUGUGUGCCUGCAUAUGUUAUGUAUAUGUGUAUAUUUAUAUACACAAAGAGGAGAAUGAGUGAAUUUGAGGAAAACAGCCUUUGUUAAGGUGACAUAAGAAUCAGCAUUUAUAUUUGAGUCCAGAGCUCUGCUUUGUAAAUAGGCUUAAUGAUUUGGCUGGUGUUAAGUUAUAUAGUACCACGAAACCAAAUGUAUCAUAUUCAACUUGGCCCCCCCAGCUUCUAAAAUCUAACUUUCCCUAAAAUCUAUUAGGAGAUGACUUCACCAAUCAAUAGAUUUAUCAUUAAAAGAACUGACUUCUAUAAUUUUACUGUUAAAAGUUAUUGUAGAGGCCUCAUAAAUUCAUUUUAUCAGAAAUAAAAGAAACCACUUAAAACUUCACUUUAAAGAUUCUAUUUGUUAAUAGAAACUCAAUAAAUCUACCAUUAAGAGAUAAAACUUGUAUACUUUAUGAUACUACAUUAUAUAUUAUACUAUUUUAUACUAUAUAUUAUGCUACAAUGGUCUGUGCAUUUCAUUUUACUAAUCUGUCAGAGAUAAAAUAAUACACUACCUACCCACAUCAAAUAAUUAUGUGUUUCCUUAGUAAGGUACAAAAUGGAGGCUGGCUAUAAUUUCCAGUUUUGCCAAAUGGAGUUAAUCCUGGCUAUUUUGCAUAGAAAGUAGGGGUGUGUGUGUGUGUGUGUGUGUAAAUGUUGGUGACUAAUACUGUCAUUGACAUUUUCAUGGGGGAUGUCUAUUGUCAAUUUUAAAAUAUUUGUUUAGGAGAACAAAUUUUUUAAUCAAUUUUUACCUCCUAUUGGUAGGCUAAAUUUAAUUUCUAGUGAAAAUUACAGCAGAUUCUUCUGAGCAGCAGCUUUUAUCUUUCCUACAGUGUCUGAAAUUAAUCUCUCAAUUUUGUGUGGAAAAAACCUAGUAUAGCUCUAUUAUUCAAAGUUUAUGCUUCUGUUAUAAAAUUGUUGCUUAUUAAGAUCACUUUGAAACUAAAGUAUCUUAUCAUAUAUCUUUUUAAUUUUUUGACACUUUUUCUAUCUGGUUGUAAUAUAUUUUUAAAGUAUACCCUAACUGCUCUGUAGUAAAUUUUGCAUUUCUUCUCACUGUGUUUAUAGCUUUUCUCUUCUUGGUGAAACUGUUGGCCUUCAUAAAUAUAGCAAGCACUUUCAAUAUGUGACUACAUUAGUUUGAUUUCUUUUAUUCAUUUCCUUGGUAUAUUGUAGUUAAUGUCUUUGGAUAUGUUUUAAAUAAAAUUUCACUUGGAUGAUCCAGA
This is a non-coding RNA of Vicugna pacos (alpaca), 5612 nucleotides long. NCBI's taxonomy places the organism in Eukaryota, Metazoa, Chordata, Mammalia, Artiodactyla, Camelidae. The record is from RefSeq and is a predicted model, not a curated record.